Molecule: ribosomal RNA, 503 nt
Filed under: uncultured euryarchaeote
Lineage: Archaea; Methanobacteriati; Methanobacteriota
Description: bacterial SSU rRNA
Rfam family: Archaeal small subunit ribosomal RNA
Source: RNAcentral
ACACUUUACAAUGCGGGAAACCGCGAUAAGGGAACCCCGAGUGCCAGCAUCAAAUGUUGGCUGUCCAGAUGAUUAAAAAUCAUUUGUUAGCAAGGGCCGGGCAAGACCGGUGCCAGCCGCCGCGGUAACACCGGCGGCCCGAGUGGUAGCCGUUUUUAUUGGGUCUAAAGGGUCCGUAGCCGGCCUGAUAAGUCCUUUGGGAAAUCUGGCAGCUUAACUGUCAGGCUUCUAAGGGAUACUGUCAGGCUUGGGACCGGAAGAGGUAAGGGGUACUCCAGGGGUAGGAGUGAAAUCUUGUAAUCCCUGGGGGACCAUCUGUGGCGAAGGCGCCUUACCAGAACGGGUCCGACGGUGAGGGACGAAAGCUAGGGGAGCAAACCGGAUUAGAUACCCGGGUAGUCCUAGCUGUAAACGAUGCUCGCUAGGUGUCAGACACGGUGCGACCGUGUUUGGUGCCGCAGGGAAGCCGUUAAGCGAGCCACCUGGAAGUACGUCGCAAGGCU